Molecule: ribosomal RNA, 537 nt
Filed under: Triticum aestivum (bread wheat)
Lineage: Eukaryota; Viridiplantae; Streptophyta; Magnoliopsida; Poales; Poaceae
Description: partial small subunit ribosomal RNA
Source: RNAcentral
AUGACUACCGAAUCGCAUGACGAAACCCGGCCUCGGAGAUUCGACGCUACCAUGUCAAGGAGGACAAUAAGAAGACCGGCUGCUGCAAGGUCGGUCGCUGCUGAUUGCGACCGAGAUGCUCAUCAGCUGAAGCCACCGUCUGAGCACAAGACAUCGCUGCAGCUAGACGGAGACGAUGAAGAGACGGCGUGUUACCUCCAGGAGCCGCAGGAGGAGGAUGAGGAUAACUCGCGUAUUUUCUCACUAAAGGAGCUGAUAGAUGAGACCAUCAACGGCGACGACAGGGACCCCGGCGCUGCCACCGGAAGCCAAGGAGAGAUCAGCGUCGCCACAGCCGCCCUCCAUGGUCAUGGAGUCGCAGCAUCAGCUGCUGAUGCAAGGAAACAGCUGCCUGGACAUGUGGUGGGAAGGAGGGUGGUCCGACUGGUCCGCCGGUACGUCAGAGUCAAGGCCAAGCACGCGCCGGAGAAGAAGGGCGUGCCUUUACGCAUGGAUGGUUGGUGCAGAGACACGGCGACCGACCGGCCGGAAGUUUAG